UGGGGAAUUUUGGACAAUGGGCGCAAGCCUGAUCCAGCAAUGCCGCGUGCAGGAUGAAGGCCUUCGGGUUGUAAACUGCUUUUGUACGGAGCGAAAAGGUCUGCCCUAAUACGGUGGGCUCAUGACGGUACCGUAAGAAUAAGCACCGGCUAACUACGUGCCAGCAGCCGCGGUAAUACGUAGGGUGCAAGCGUUAAUCGGAAUUACUGGGCGUAAAGCGUGCGCAGGCGGUUUUGUAAGUCUGAUGUGAAAUCCCCGGGCUCAACCUGGGAACUGCAUUUGUGACUGCAUAGCUGGAGUGCGGCAGAGGGGGAUGGAAUUCCGCGUGUAGCAGUGAAGUGCGUAGAUAUGCGGAGGAACACCGAUGGCGAAGGCAAUCCCCUGGGCCUGCACUGACGCUCAUGCACGAAAGCGUGGGGAGCAAACA
Molecule: ribosomal RNA, 427 nt
Filed under: uncultured bacterium
Lineage: Bacteria
Description: bacterial SSU rRNA
Rfam family: Bacterial small subunit ribosomal RNA
Source: RNAcentral